RNAcentral lists this ribosomal RNA (433 nucleotides) under uncultured bacterium. RNAcentral's name for it is "partial 16S ribosomal RNA". It matches the Rfam family "Bacterial small subunit ribosomal RNA", at positions 29 to 507 of the family's 1533-position model. The record is from RNAcentral.
AACGAACGCUGGCGGCAUGCCUAACACAUGCAAGUCGAACGAUGCCUUCGGGCAUAGUUGCGCGCGGGUGCGUAACGCGUGGGAAUCUGCCUUUCGGUUCGGAAUAACUCAGGGAAACUUGAGCUAAUACCGGAUAACGUCGCAAGACCAAAGAUUUAUCACCGAAAGAUGAGCCCGCGUAGGAUUAGCUAGUUGGUGAGGUAAAGGCUCACCAAGGCGACGAUCCUUAGCUGGUCUGAGAGGAUGAUCAGCCACACUGGGACUGAGACACGGCCCAGACUCCUACGGGAGGCAGCAGUGGGGAAUAUUGGACAAUGGGCGAAAGCCUGAUCCAGCGAUGCCGCGUGAGUGAUGAAGGACUUAGGGUUGUAAAGCUCUUUUACCCGGGAAGAUAAUGACGGUACCGGGCGAAUAAGCCCCGGCUAACUCCGUG